Molecule: microRNA, 22 nt
Filed under: Panagrellus redivivus
Lineage: Eukaryota; Metazoa; Nematoda; Chromadorea; Rhabditida; Panagrolaimidae
Description: prd-miR-124-5p
Gene: prd-miR-124-5p
Source: miRBase by way of RNAcentral
GGGUUUUCACGGUGACUUCAGU